AUAUUUUUUAUUUAAAACUAAAAUUUGUUAAUAAUGCUUAGUAAUGCAUAUAUUUUGUAUUUUUAGCUUUCCAGAAGAUCCUGCGAAGAAGGCAUGAAGUAUAGAUCUGAGUUGUUAAUAGAGGAGUAUGUUCAAAACAUUUUUUAGAAAAAGAUAUUGACAGAAUUUCACUUUCAUCUGUUCGUUUGAGAGACUGUGCUGUUCCAAUAGCUUAUGUCACACAGAAUCAGCCGCGAGAAGUGGUCUACAAAAAACCAGGAAGGAAAUGGAAUAUGUGGCUACGAAAAGCAAAAGAAAGGUUUACAAAGCAAAUGUGACACAUUUUUUUAUAAUAUUUAGGAAUGUCAGUAAAUUACAUUAAAAAAAUGUAUGAAAAGAUUUUUUGCAAUAAAAAUGUUUAUAUUUA
Long non-coding RNA from Diabrotica virgifera virgifera (western corn rootworm), 406 nucleotides. RefSeq lists it as uncharacterized. The record is from RefSeq and is a predicted model, not a curated record. The transcript has 2 exons. Lineage: Eukaryota; Metazoa; Arthropoda; Insecta; Coleoptera; Chrysomelidae.